This 403-nucleotide ribosomal RNA is filed under the name Lepidophthalmus turneranus. RNAcentral describes it as "partial 12S ribosomal RNA". Lineage: Eukaryota; Metazoa; Arthropoda; Malacostraca; Decapoda; Callianassidae. The record is from RNAcentral.
UGUUAGUCAACUAAAUAUCAGCAAGAUAUUAAAAGCUAUGUUCUUCAAAUCUAAAGAAUUUGGCGGUAAUUUAGUCCAGUUAGAGGAACCUGUUUGGUAAACGAUAAACCACGAAAAAUCUUACCUACUUUCAAAGUUUGUAUACCGUCAUUAUUAGAUAACUUUCAAUGAAAAAGUUAUUUUAAUAAAUUUAAUUUAAUAUAUUAGAUCAAGGUGCAGCCAAUAAGUAGGUCUUAAUGGGUUACAAUAAAACUUAUUUAUUUACGAAUAUAAAAUGUAAUCAUUUUAUUGAAGGAGGAUUUAAUAGUAAAAUUGGUUUAAUAAGCCUUUUUGAUAAAGGAUCUAAAUUGAGUACAUAUCGCCCGUCGCUUUCAUUCUACAGAUGAAAUAAGUCGUAACAUAG